UUCUCCAGGUACUCCUUGGCCUGGAUCUCCUCCUUGACCAAAGCUUGGGACACCGCCAAAGUGGCCAGCAGAACCACCAGAAACAGUCUCAUAUUGAGUUACAACUUUCUCGCCUGGAAGUUAUUUGUGUCGAGACGAUACUCUCGCGUAAUUGAUAAAAGUGUCUCAUUUUGGAAUGACUCUGGGGUCAGAUCGACACGCUUUAUACUAUAUAUGUAUCUCAAUUGAUCGCAUGUAUUCCUUACAGUUCGCUUGAAUUCACUUCAACUGAACGAGUUUAACAAGAGAUAAGAUUCCCAUUGAUUGGGUUUUCGUAAUGGAUGACAAAUCAAUUUUUAAAAUAUAAAGAUGUACAUAUAAAGUAAA
Drosophila subpulchrella is the source of this 366-nucleotide long non-coding RNA. RefSeq lists it as uncharacterized. Lineage: Eukaryota; Metazoa; Arthropoda; Insecta; Diptera; Drosophilidae. The record is from RefSeq and is a predicted model, not a curated record. The transcript has 2 exons.